UUGAAAUGCAUCUUUUCAGUGUCAGAUUUACACACGCUGAACACAGUUUGGUGACUUUUCCUGUCAUUAUUUACAGGCUUUAGCUGUCAUUGCCUGCGGUUUUGCAUAGUAAGGACUGUUCUUUCUUACCGGUCUGCACAUCAGUGCAUGCUCAAACAAACAUAGCUGCCUAGUUUUCCAUUGGCUGUGACAAAAUGUCCUCAUUAAAAGAAAGCAGCGCAGACGGAAUCCUUCCUGAUCCUGACAGGGGCUUUCCUUCCUCACUGUCUGGUUCAGAGUUAGUUCGCCUGAAAAAAAAAACACACACACACACACACAAACAUCUACAUCUUUUGUGUUUUUUUUUUUUUUGUUGUGUUGUGUUUGUCAAGACUUGUUAGCUACUUGCUUAGUGACUCUGGCAAAGUUAGCAUAGCAUUUUGGCUAGCUUGUUGUUUGGCUAAGUUGUUAGCUAGACACUUGGUGACCCUGGCAAAGUUAGCAUAGCAUUUUGGCUAGCUUGUUGUUUGGCUAAGUUGUUAGCCAGACACUUGGUGACCCUGGCAAAGUUAGCAUAGCAUUUUGGCUAGCUUGUUGUUUGGCUAAGUUGUUAGCUAGAAACUUGCUGACCCUGGCAAAGUUAGCAUAGCAUUUUGGCUAGCUUGUUGCUUGGCUAAGUUGUUAGCUAGACGCUUGGUGACCCUGGCAAAGUUAGCAUAGCAUUUUGGCUAGCUUGUUGUUUGGUCAAGUUGUUAGCUAAAUGCUUGGUGACCCUGGCAAAGUUAGCAUAGCAUUUUGGCUAUCUUGUUGUUAGCUAAAUGCUUGGUGACCAUGGCAAAGAUAGCAUAGCAUUUUGGCUAGCUUGUUGUUUGGCCAAGUCGUUAGCAGUCUGUUUAAAGUUUUAUAGCAUAGAGACAAACAUGUUUCAUUUUUAACAGGAUGGGUCAUCUGUCAUGAGGCUCAGCUUUAGUGUGGGACAUAGAUAAGACCCAACUUCAUGUUGCUAAGCUAACACACAUUAGGCAAAU
RNAcentral lists this long non-coding RNA (1007 nucleotides) under Betta splendens (Siamese fighting fish). Its description in RNAcentral is "lncRNA (ENSBSLG00000017871.1)". Lineage: Eukaryota; Metazoa; Chordata; Actinopteri; Anabantiformes; Osphronemidae. The record is from RNAcentral.